AACUAUGUGCCAGCAGCUGCGGUAAUACAUAGGUCGCAAGCGUUAUUCGGAUUUAUUGGGCGUAAAGCAAGCGCAGGCGGAUGGACAAGUUCUGUGUUAAAAGCAGCUGCUCAACAGUUGUUUGCGCCGAAUACUGUCCAUCUAGAAUAUGGUAGGAAGUUUCGGAAUUGAAUAUGGAGCGGUGGAAUGCGUAGAUAUAUUCAAGAACACCAGAGGCGAAGGCGGAAACUUAGGCCACUAUUGACGCUUAGGCUUGAAAGUGUGGGUAGCAAAUGGGAUUAGAUACCCCAGUAGUCCACACCGUAAACGAUGGAUAUUAAAUGUUGGGACUUGUGUCUCAGCGUUGUAGCUUACGUGUUAAAUAUCCCGCCUGGGUAGUACAUAUGCAAAUAUGAAACUCAAAGGAAUUGACGGGGACCUGAACAAGUGGUGGAACAUGUUGCUUAAUUCGAUAAUACACGAAAAACCUUACCAAGAUUUGACAUCCCCCGCGAAGCCUUAGAAAUAAGGUCAUAGGUUAUCGGGGUGACAGGUGGUGCAUGGUUGUCGUCAGCUCGUGUCAUGAGAUGUUUGGUUAAGUCCCGCAACGAGCGCAACCCUACUCUUUAGUUAAAUUGUUUAAAGAGACUGAACAGUAAUGUAUAGGAAGGUUGGGAUCACGUCAAAUCAUCAUGCCCCUUAUGUCUUGGGCCGCAAACGUGUUACAAUGGCGAGCACAGCGUGCAGCAAACUAGCGAUAGCAAGCAAAUCACUAAAAACUCGUCUCAGUCCGGAUAAAAGGCUGCAAUUCGCCUUUUUGAAGUUGGAAUCACUAGUAAUCCCGUGUCAGCUAUAUCGGGGUGAAUACGUUCCCAGGUCUUGUACAC
This 866-nucleotide ribosomal RNA is filed under the name uncultured Mycoplasma sp. Its description in RNAcentral is "bacterial SSU rRNA". It matches the Rfam family "Bacterial small subunit ribosomal RNA", at positions 499 to 1388 of the family's 1533-position model. The record is from RNAcentral. Lineage: Bacteria; Bacillati; Mycoplasmatota; Mollicutes; Mycoplasmatales; Mycoplasmataceae.